UGAGGAAUAUUGGUCAAUGGGCGCAGGCCUGAGCCAGCCAAGUCGCGUGAGGGAGGACGGUCCUAUGGAUUGUAAACCUCUUUUGUCGGGGAGUAACGUGCGGGACGCGUCCCGUAUUGAGAGUACCCGAAGAAGAAGCACCGGCUAACUCCGUGCCAGCAGCCGCGGUAAUACGGAGGGUGCAAGCGUUAAUCGGAAUAACUGGGCGUAAAGGGCAUGCAGGCGGUUUAUCAAGUAGGAUGUGAAAGCCCCGGGCUCAACCUGGGAAUUGCAUUCUAAACUGAUAGACUAGAGUAUUGCAGGGGGAGACGGAAUUCCAGGUGUAGCGGUGGAAUGCGUAGAUAUCUGGAAGAACACCAAAGGCGAAGGCAGUCUCCUGGGCAAAUACUGACGCUCAUAUGCGAAAGCGUGGGUAGC
RNAcentral lists this ribosomal RNA (417 nucleotides) under uncultured Succinivibrio sp. Its description in RNAcentral is "bacterial SSU rRNA". It matches the Rfam family "Bacterial small subunit ribosomal RNA", at positions 355 to 769 of the family's 1533-position model. The record is from RNAcentral. Lineage: Bacteria; Pseudomonadati; Pseudomonadota; Gammaproteobacteria; Aeromonadales; Succinivibrionaceae.